This 423-nucleotide unclassified non-coding RNA is filed under the name uncultured Tricholoma. Its description in RNAcentral is "sequence contains ITS2". The stretch from base 1 to 154 matches the Rfam family "5.8S ribosomal RNA". Lineage: Eukaryota; Fungi; Basidiomycota; Agaricomycetes; Agaricales; Tricholomataceae. The record is from RNAcentral.
AACUUUCGACAAUGGAUCUCUUGGCUCUCGCAUCGAUGUAGAACGCAGCGAAAUGCGAUAAGUAAUGUGAAUUGCAGAAUUCAGUGAAUCAUCGAAUCUUUGAACGCACCUUGCGCUCCUUGGUAUUCCGAGGAGCAUGCCUGUUUGAGUGUCAUGAAAUUCUCAACCUUAUCAACUUUUAUUGGUUGAUUAGGCUUGGAUGUGGGAGCUUGCAGGCUUUUUCUUAAGAAGUCGGCUCUCCUUAAAUUUAUUAGCGUGACCUUUUUGGUUGCCCCAGCCCUAGUGUGAUAAUUAUCUACGCUAUUGCUGAAGUGACUUGGUUACAGCUUCUAAUCGUCUCUCGAAGACAAUUUUAUAUGACAAUUUGACCUCAAAUCAGGUAGGACUACCCGCUGAACUUAAGCAUAUCAAUAAGCGGAGGCU